GACGGAGGGGGCAAGCGUUGUUCGGAAUGACUGGGCGUAAAGCGCGCGUAGGCGGCGCAUCAAGUGGAGCGUGAAAGCCCUCGGCUUAACCGAGGAAGCGCGAUGCAGACUGAUGGGCUUGAGUGUCGGAGGGGGAGGCGGAAUUCCUGGUGGAGCGGUGAAAUGCGUAGAGAUCAGGAAGAACGUCGGUGGCGAAGGCGGCCUCCUGGACGAACACUGACGCUGAGGAGCGAGAGCGUGGGGAGCGAACGGG
Molecule: ribosomal RNA, 253 nt
Filed under: uncultured microorganism
Description: partial small subunit ribosomal RNA
Rfam family: Bacterial small subunit ribosomal RNA
Source: RNAcentral